UGACCCCUGCUAGUCGGACGUUCUAGAUGACUGAAUGGAGUUUUGAGUUGGACUCUGGUGUCCCCUACGGAGUCGGGCCUGAUCCCGGAGCGCUGGGGGUGGGGUGGAGGUGUUACUGUAAAAUGCAAGUUGGAUAAAAGGAGGACCUCUCGCCAAGGGCCCCAAUGAGUGGCACACAGUCUACUAUCACCGACAGGUUUCCCCUCAAAAAACCUAUAAGGCAUGGAAGUAUUUUGAACCGUGAGUCACCAACAGAUAAGAAGCAGAAAGUUGAGCGCAGUACAUCACAUGAUUUUGACCCCACAGAUAGCUCCUCCAAGAAGACAAAGUCUAGUUCAGAGGAGAGUAGAUCCGAAAUAUAUGGUCUUGUUCAGCGUUGUGUGAUCAUCCAGAAGGAUGACAAUGGAUUUGGGCUGACGGUCAGUGGAGACAAUCCAGUGUUCGUACAGUCUGUCAAAGAAGAUGGAGCAGCCAUGCGGGCUGGAGUACAGACAGGUGAUCGAAUCAUCAAGGUGAAUGGAACUCUGGUGACUCAUUCAAACCAUUUGGAAGUGGUGAAGCUAAUCAAAUCUGGUUCCUAUGUAGCUCUCACUGUUCAGGGACGCCCCCCUGGGUCGCCCCAGAUUCCACUUGCUGAUUCUGAAGUAGAGCCAUCGGUCACUGGACAUAUGUCUCCCAUCAUGACAUCCCCUCAUUCACCUGGUGCACCUGGGAAUAUGGAGAGAAUUACUAGUCCUGUGCUCAUGGGGGAAGAAAACAAUGUGGUUCAUAACCAGAAAGUAGAAAUUCUGAGAAAAAUGUUACAGAAAGAACAGGAACGGCUUCAGCUAUUGCAGGAAGACUACAACCGAACACCUGCUCAGAGAUUGCUAAAAGAGAUCCAAGAGGCCAAGAAACACAUUCCUCAGCUGCAAGAGCAGUUAUCCAAAGCCACAGGCUCUGCUCAGGAUGGAGCUGUAGUUACAUCCUCCAAGCCGUUAGCUGACGGGCUAGCAGUGGGUGAAGGAGAAGCAGAUCCUGGUGAUGGGCUAGGCAGGCUUGACUAUGGCAGCGGAGACGCUUCUCGGCCCGGUAGUGACAGUGCCGAUAGUCCCAAGAGUGGCUUGAAAGAGAGGAUUUAUCUAGAGGAAAACCCAGAAAAAAGUGAAGCAAUUCAGGACACUGACACUCAGUCGCUUGUUGGGAGUCCCUCUACCCGUGUGGCACCUCAUAUUAUUGGAGCAGAGGACGAUGACUUUGGUAGUGAACAUGAACAGAUCAAUGGGCAGUGCAGCUGUUUUCAGAGCAUUGAGCUGCUAAAAUCUCGCCCUGCUCACUUGGCUGUCUUCUUACACCAUGUAGUUUCCCAGUUUGACCCUGCAACAUUGCUCUGUUACCUCUAUUCAGACCUAUAUAAACAGACCAAUUCCAAGGAGACCCGUCGUGUCUUCCUUGAGUUCCAUCAGUUCUUCCUGGAUCGAUCUGCUCACCUGAAGGUUUCUGUUCCUGAUGAAAUAUCAGUAGAUCUAGAAAAAAGACGACCAGAGCUUAUUCCUGAGGAUCUACAUCGCCACUAUAUCCAAACUAUGCAAGAAAGAGUCCACCCAGAAGUUCAGAGGCACUUGGAAGAUUUUCGGCAGAAGCGCAGCAUGGGGCUGACCCUGGCUGAAAGUGAACUGACUAAACUUGAUGUAGAGCGAGACAAGGACCGGUUAACUUUGGAGAAGGAACGGGCAUGUGCAGAACAGAUUGUUGCCAAAAUUGAAGAAGUGUUGAUGACUGCUCAGGCUGUAGAAGAAGAAAAGAGUUCAACAAUGCAAUAUGUUAUUCUCAUGUACAUGAAACAUUUGGGAGUAAAAGUGAAAGAACCUCGAAAUUUGGAGCACAAGCGAGGUCGGAUUGGAUUCCUUCCAAAAAUCAAGCAAAGUAUGAAGAAAGAUAGAGAAGGCGAAGAAAAGGGGAAGCGAAGAGGGUUCACCAGCAUCUUGGGACCCCCUAGGAGACCAAGCCGCCACGACAAUAGCGCAAUUGGCAGAGCCAUGGAACUGCAGAAGCAGCGCCACCCUAAGCACUUGUCCACACCCUCGUCUGUGAGUCCUGAACCUCAGGAUUCUGCGAAGCUGCGCCAGAGUGGAUCAGCAAGUGAAGGAGCAGACAGUGGAUACCUGCCAGCCAAUUCCACGUCCUCCAUGGUUUCAGGGGCCACUCUUUCCCAGGAAGGAGGGAAAGAGAAUGAUAUGGGAUCAAAACAAGCUGGAGAAACGCCAGCAUCUGGAGACUCCUUGGAUGGCACUCCUCGUACUCCCAACACCAUCUUUGAUUUCCCACCUCCUCCAUUAGACCAGGUGCAGGAGGAGGAAUGGGAAGUAGAGAGAGUGACUGAGCAUGGGACACCAAAGCCCUUUCGAAAGUUUGACAGCAUAGCUUUUGGAGAAAGUCAGAGUGAGGAUGAACAGUUUGAAAAUGACUUAGAGACGGACCCACCCAACUGGCAACAGCUCGUCAGUCGAGAAGUGUUAUUGGGACUCAAGCCUUGUGAGAUCAAAAGACAGGAAGUAAUUAAUGAAUUGUUCUACACUGAAAGAGCUCAUGUUCGAACAUUGAAGGUUCUAGAUCAAGUGUUUUAUCAGCGAGUGUCCAGAGAAGGAAUUUUGUCACCUUCAGAGCUACGGAAAAUUUUUUCAAACUUAGAAGAUAUUCUUCAACUUCACAUUGGAUUGAAUGAGCAAAUGAAGGCUAUUCGGAAGAGGAAUGAGACCUCUGUUAUUGAUCAGAUUGGGGAAGAUUUGCUGAUCUGGUUCAGUGGACCCGGGGAGGAAAAGUUGAAACAUGCUGCUGCUACCUUUUGCAGUAACCAACCCUUUGCCCUGGAAAUGAUCAAGUCUCGCCAGAAAAAGGAUUCUCGAUUCCAGACUUUUGUGCAAGAUGCUGAGAGUAAUCCACUGUGUCGUCGUCUGCAGCUAAAGGAUAUCAUUCCCACUCAAAUGCAGAGGCUUACUAAGUACCCUCUUCUCUUGGACAAUAUUGCCAAAUACACAGAGUGGCCAACAGAAAGGGAGAAGGUGAAGAAAGCUGCAGAUCACUGUCGUCAGAUCUUAAAUUACGUGAACCAAGCUGUUAAGGAGGCAGAGAACAAACAGCGCUUGGAAGAUUAUCAGCGUCGCCUUGAUACCUCUAAUCUGAAGUUGUCAGAAUACCCAAAUGUUGAAGAGCUCAGGAAUUUGGAUUUAACAAAAAGGAAGAUGAUUCACGAAGGCCCAUUGGUUUGGAAGGUGAAUAGAGAUAAAACAAUUGAUCUGUAUACGUUGCUGCUGGAAGAUAUUCUUGUAUUAUUACAAAAGCAGGAUGAUAGACUGGUGUUAAGGUGUCACAGUAAGAUUCUGGCAUCUACAGCUGACAGCAAACACACAUUUAGCCCUGUCAUCAAGCUGAAUACGGUGUUGGUUCGACAAGUGGCAACAGAUAACAAAGCUUUAUUCGUCAUCUCCAUGUCUGAUAAUGGAGCCCAAAUUUAUGAACUGGUGGCACAGACAGUUUCUGAAAAGACUGUCUGGCAGGACCUAAUAUGUCGGAUGGCCGCGUCCGUGAAGGAGCAGUCCACAAAGCCGAUCCCACUGCCCCAGCCGCCACCGUGCGAAGGAGACAACGAUGAAGAAGAACCUCCAAAAUUAAAAGUGGAACAUCAUGACAUUUCAGUCACUGGUCUGCAGAGUCCAGACAGAGAUUUGGGAUUAGAGUCUCCUUUAAUGUCAUCAAAACCUCAGUCUCAUUCGCUGGGUACCUCUGGGAAGUCGGAAGUAGAUGACCUCUUUGUGGCUGAGAGACAGUUUGCAAAGGAGCAGCAUGCAGAUGGGACACUAAAGGAAGUUGGAGUGAAUUAUCAAAUCACAAUCCCAGAUCCACACUUGCCUGUCUCGGAAGAACGGUGGGCGCUGGAUGCACUAAGGAAUUUGGGUUUGUUGAAGCAGCUGCUGGUACACCAGCUGGGCUUGACUGAGAAGAGCGCUCAGGAAGACUGGCCACAUUUUCCAAGAUGCAGGACAGCCUCUCUGGGGGUGCAGGCAGACAGUGGAACCCAGAACCCUGAAAAUAUUAAGGCCUGUCAUCCUGUUGAAGCACAGAUGCCCUUUAGAACUGGAACUGGUGACAUUUCAACUUGUUACAGUCCACGGACUUCAACUGAAUCUUCUGCUCCACGGGAUUCAGUAGUACUGGCAUUCCAAGAGAGCCAGGCAAGUGACAUUUUAGUAAUGGACCACAUGAUUAUGACCCCAGAGAUGCCUCCCUCAGAGCCAGAAGGGGGUCUUGAUGAGAGUGGAGAGCACUUUUUUGAUGCCCGUGAAGCACAUAGUGAUGAUAAUCCAUCAGAAGGUGAUGGAGCAGUUAAAAAGGAAGAGAAGGAUGUUAAUUUGCGCAUCUCAGGAACCUAUCUGAUUCUUGAUGGCUAUGACCCGGUGCAGGAGAGCUCCACAGAUGACGAGGUUGCUUCCUCGUUCCCCCUUCAGCCCGGGGCAGGCAUCCCCUCUCUGGACUCUGGACACCAGCAGCAGCCUUCUCCCCAGAAUGCUCAUUCUGAUGGGGCUGUUUCACCGUUCAACCCAGAAUUACUGGUCCAGCAGCGCUGGGGAGCUAUGGAGGAUUCCUGUUUUGAGAUCCAGAGUCCCUCUGCUUGUGCUGAUUCACAAAGCCAGAUCAUGGAGUACAUUCGUAAAAUAGAGGCUGACCUUGAACACUUAAAGGAUUACAUAUAGGGAUGUCCUGUGGCUGGUAAGAUUCUAAGAGGCCUUCGAGGGCACAUUGGCUCUAACUUAGUUCAUGCCACAUAUGGGAUCGUUUUCAGGGUGACUCCAGGGCAGGAGGGAAUAAUCACCUCUAAUAGUUGCCCUCUCCUCUACUUUCUUCUGCAUGGGAACAUUUUAAGUUAUUCACUCAAGGGAGAAACAGAAGGUGGAGGAAAGUUACACCAUUCUUUGCCAAAGGCUGGCUGGAUCAGCCCUCACAGACAAGCACUCAGAUAAAAGUUAGAGCCAUGUGUCCUGGAGGUGACUGCAGGUUGUUGGAUUUGAGCACCAGCCUUGUCUCACCAUGUCCUGGCUCCAGUGUGGACGCUGAGAGAGAGUAUGACGUGUGACAGAGGAUCUGCCUGCAAACACCCUGGGGGAGCCACGCCCUCCGGGGCCCAGAGCAGGACUGGGUCUUCACAGCCUGGCAGCUGCACAAGUCUGUCCGCGAGGGGACAUCCGUCCUCUCGCCCUGCUCUUCUCACUCUUGGAAAUCCAUUUUGAUUCAGAACAAAAACCAAAUGUAUAGAGCUUUGGGUGUAGAAUAUGAAAUUUUACUUAGACUUAAGAGAAAGAGAAAAUCAGAUGUAUUUAUUUGACUUCAUUCCGUAUUUGAAAGCACAUUUUAAUUUUUAUUUUGCCAUGUUUUGUUUUAAUUGAGUAGUGAGAGUUUUAGCCCUUUGUAUUUAGUACACCCAAGGAUUGACUGCUCCUGAAGCAAAGAGUUCAGGAUGGGGUAUCAGGAGGUGGCUGGAGAGGUGAAGAGGGGGAGGGAGUGGGCAGAGGAGAGAGGAGCAUGAGGUCUCUACCGAAGGAUGUCCCGUGCCCUCUGCUGUCCCAUAGGCUGCUCGUCUGAGGGUCCCCUCAAAAGCGUACUCAAAAGUCCUCUGCCGCAACUCCUCCGAGCAGAGGACUUGAGCUUUGUGCUCCCAGGUGCGGGGCUUCCUCCCACCCGAGGCCAGCACCUCUUCUCUGUAGCUGGGAUCCGCUCCCGAUGAACAGGAAUCCUCAAUGUACUAAGUAGCAGGCACUUGAAAAUGGGUGUGUUUUCUUCUAUCGUCUCCUUUUCUGUUGAGGUUUGGGAUUUGGGAGGGAGAGGAAAGCAAAUUUUAUUUUCUUGACUAUAAAUUUGUUAUCCUUGGUAUUGUUUCAUUUUUAUAAUUAUACAUUAGACCUUGGCACUUGUGUAAAAUAAUCCCUGCCAGCUGAGCAGGAAGUGAAAACAAGCAGAGAUGCUUCAGGUGGAGGCAGGGGUGGGGGCUGCUGAGGAAGGGUGGGAUGGGAGCGGGUGAGAGUGUGGGAAGGUUAUGGAACUGAAUCACUACUGAGUUGAACAAUGGCUUUCAUGAGCCACGGGUACUGCUGAGUAUAAGGCCAGUAAAAUGUUAGUACCUGGAGGUUUGACUCUGAUUUUUGCACUGAUGGUGCCAAAGGGCUCUUAGAGUUUGAGAAGAGAGCCAAGGGUGGAGUGGAGGAGGAUGCGGUGGAGAAGGCAGAGCUGCUCCAGCCAGCUGCAGAAGCACAUCCUCGGACUUCACUGCUGGAGCUUUUUCCACACUGGUGCAUGACUGACCUUAAAAAUUGCAGACCAGAACAUACACUGGAUACUGCAGGCAAGGCGUUGGGAACUGCCUGCUCUAGAAUGAAUAGUAGCCCUGGCAGCACCCUCCAGAGGAUAAAUGUUUCAGAACUGUAACUUGAGAACUCCCUUCAGUUCUGUUGGCUUUCUGUGGUUUUCUUUGUGCAUCAGGUAUAUAUUAAUGUGUUUUGAAGUAUUUUUGCCAAUCAAAAACGAAAUCAUUUGUCAAAUAUUACAAUUCUGUUAAUACACAAGGAGUUGAUCCACUGCUCAUGUCUUUCAGUAGUACCCUCUGAACUCUGUGGGUAGUUAGGAUGUAAUUUUACUCUCCCCUGCCAUCCCCUCACCAUCUGCCCAAAAAUAUAUAUAUAUACAUAUAUAUAUAAUAUAUAUAUAAAAUUUCCCCCCAUCAUAAGUGGUAAGGAUUCCCAACUGCGUUUAUAAACACCACUACAACUUAGCAAAGCUCAUCUAUGUCCAGAUUCUUGUUUCUGUCUUUCCAAAAGUGAUCUGUGUUUUUAAAUAAACCAACUUGGAUCGUUGGACCUCAUCUAUAAAUUAGAAUUUUAUUUUGAUUUAUAGCCCAAGUAUAAAUUAAAAUGGGAUUAAAAAAUUUAGAAGCAGAAGCUAAUAUAUAAGUAAAGCUUGGGACUUGAACUUUCUGUGUCUCUUAAGAGAAACAAGUAGAAACCAAAUGGUUACAUUGUGCUGCUGGAAAUAAUGUAGUCACUCCCAACUAAAAGGGGUACCUGUAGUUACUUGACACUAAUACCAUCAGUGGGCAGUUAAUCAGAAGAAAGGUAAAUACAAAUAGAACUUUCAUCUUAACUUCAGAUAGUACAGGGUCAUUGAAUAAUUCCCUAGCACUCAGUUAUUUAAGAAGAUUUGUACGUUAGCAGAGUUUUAGUUUCUCUUCUGGUUCAGCCAACCCCUUGUCCUUAGCAACUAUUUGCUUUUCUUUUUCCUGAAGUUUAACCUCUCCUUGGAACAAAAACAGGGCUAACUGGAAAAAUAUUUUGACCGUUGCUCUUGUGCCUCCAAAUAAAUUCAUUUCUAGAUCUUCAAAUGAAGCCCCCAAAUGAAAUCUAAUUCUGAAAAGAUUCCAUGAUUUUGAGUUUUCUUUUUUAUCUCACCAGCCUCAUGUCUUCCUCCUCCUCCUCAUCCUGGCCUCCCAUGCUCUCCUUUUUUUUUUUCCCUUUUGUCCAUUAUAAUCACAUCCAUCCUACUUUGAUACUAUACCUGCCUUUCAGGACAAUGGAAUUAGGUAAUCUCUUUUUGGGUGAGACUGAUGACUGUCAAAGCCGUUUUCUCAAAGUUGGUGACUGAAGUUGGAAUCAACUUCCAUGUGGAAAGAUCCAAGGGCAGUGGACAGAGCCACCUUCCCAGAGCAGGAGAGCUGGUUUUAGCUAUCGUGACCUGCCGUGACCCUGUGCUCUUUCCGGUGGCCCUAAGGGGUCCCUUGCUGUUAAGUGGCAGCUUACAUUUGCGGUGUCUCUUUCCUUUUCAGAGAACAGAGUUCAGCAAGGCAAAUCAAUAAACCCCAAAGUGCUGUAAUUUAAAAUCAUGAUCACUGCCCUAGAAGUCAUAUAUUUCGUGUACUUUAAAACCAGCUAUGAAUAACUCGGACUGCUUGGGUUAUCUUUGGCUAUUAGGACCUGAACUGUAACUAUUUAUUAUAAUAUGCUACAAAAAAGGUGCUUUUUUGCUUUCUUUUCCCUAAAACAACUUUGAUCGACCGUUAGAAAGGAUGAGUCCCUCUCAAAAAUUUUUUUUGUUAAUUUGUCCUUGGAGGAGGGUGGGGAGCUAGUGUGAUAGUCAAGGAGAAAAGCCCACUGUUCCCUUAUUUUUGAAGCUAAAGAAAACAAUUAUGCCUACUGUGAGUUGUCUUUUGCUCGCAUACUUUUUUCUUUUUGAUAUCAUUAAAUUCAGUGUAUUAUGUGGAGCUUCUAUAUUUCAAACUGGAAGCAGUCUUCUUUGAAGGUGGUAUAUGAUGUAAUUUUGAGCUACAAGAGCUUUGGUCAGUCUUUCCUCCCCUAUAUAUCACAGGGGGCAAGGUUCAAAACUGUGUACAGAGGACCUCAAGAUAGAAAAUUAAGCAGGACCUUCCAGUCAUCUUUCUGCUGGCUAACUUUUUAUUCCCUAGAAUUACCAUUCCUGUUUUAAAUCAUAUUUUUUUUUCCUCUGACUCCUCCACCACUUUUCAAAGUGAUCUGCAUAAUUAUUCUUUCCUCAAGAAAAGAGUUCCUUUGCCUUGUUCUUCUCCACUGGUACUGAUGGUUUUGAAAAUAAACUGGUAGGAAAAAAAAGUGUACCUCCUAGAAGGAAGCCCUGCCCGCCAUUUCCAGGUGCCAAUGGCUAAGCAGGUGUGCCGCAAACAUAACUGUAACUUGUGCACACUGUGGGUCACUCUUAAUCAGCCUCUUCCUACUAGAGCAUUUUAUUUUCCUUGUUCACCGUACAAUCAUGUACUACUCUUUAACAGAAAUUACUUUUAAAGAAAUCUGGAACUAUCUUAAAAAAAAAAAAAAACUUUAUUAAUAAUCAUGUAUUUUUACUGAUCACAUUUUGAAAUGCCUAAAAGACUUUAUUGUUCUAAUUAUCCAGAUGUACCUUUGUAAAAUAGCUCUUUUAUGAAUUAGCUGAUAAGGCUGUAUGUUUCUGGAACAAAAUAUUGGUCAUCUAAAAACUCUGUUUUCUGGGGUCUGGGAAAAUAGAAGAAUGAGAAUUCAAAUAUUAAAUAUGCUUAAAGGAA
Molecule: RNA transcript, 9091 nt
Organism: Bubalus bubalis (water buffalo)
Lineage: Eukaryota; Metazoa; Chordata; Mammalia; Artiodactyla; Bovidae
Gene: ARHGEF12
Gene name: Rho guanine nucleotide exchange factor 12
Exons: 42
Source: RefSeq, a predicted model, not a curated record